This 651-nucleotide ribosomal RNA is filed under the name Staphylococcus pseudintermedius. Its description in RNAcentral is "bacterial SSU rRNA". It matches the Rfam family "Bacterial small subunit ribosomal RNA", at positions 255 to 897 of the family's 1533-position model. Lineage: Bacteria; Bacillati; Bacillota; Bacilli; Caryophanales; Staphylococcaceae. The record is from RNAcentral.
GGGUAACGGCCUACCAAGGCGACGAUACGUAGCCGACCUGAGAGGGUGAUCGGCCACACUGGAACUGAGACACGGUCCAGACUCCUACGGGAGGCAGCAGUAGGGAAUCUUCCGCAAUGGGCGAAAGCCUGACGGAGCAACGCCGCGUGAGUGAUGAAGGUCUUCGGAUCGUAAAGCUCUGUUGUUAGGGAAGAACAAAUGUGUAAGUAACUGUGCACAUCUUGACGGUACCUAACCAGAAAGCCACGGCUAACUACGUGCCAGCAGCCGCGGUAAUACGUAGGUGGCAAGCGUUAUCCGGAAUUAUUGGGCGUAAAGCGCGCGUAGGCGGUUUUUUAAGUCUGAUGUGAAAGCCCACGGCUCAACCGUGGAGGGUCAUUGGAAACUGGAAAACUUGAGUGCAGAAGAGGAAAGUGGAAUUCCAUGUGUAGCGGUGAAAUGCGCAGAGAUAUGGAGGAACACCAGUGGCGAAGGCGGCUUUCUGGUCUGCAACUGACGCUGAUGUGCGAAAGCGUGGGGAUCAAACAGGAUUAGAUACCCUGGUAGUCCACGCCGUAAACGAUGAGUGCUAAGUGUUAGGGGGUUUCCGCCCCUUAGUGCUGCAGCUAACGCAUUAAGCACUCCGCCUGGGGAGUACGGUCGCAAGACUGA